UACACAUUCAAGUUUUGAAAUCGACAAUUGUCAUCGUCAUUGGAAUGCAACUGGAAGACACAUUCUGAGGACACACAGGUUCAACUCAGUCCGGCAGUGGGCGGAGCUUUAAAGCGAUAUCUGUAUAGUAUACAGAUGCAGCAUAGCGAUAUCUGUAUGGCUGUAUCUGUAUAGUAGGACACCCAAUUGCAGGAUAAAAAGAAAUAAUCUCUGAGACACACAUGCCGCAAAUGUUUAAUGACAAAAAAAUAGAUUAUCACGUAGUUGCGUAAAAAAAAGCUUUUU
RNAcentral lists this long non-coding RNA (285 nucleotides) under Mytilus galloprovincialis (Mediterranean mussel). The record is from RNAcentral. Lineage: Eukaryota; Metazoa; Mollusca; Bivalvia; Mytilida; Mytilidae.